RNAcentral lists this ribosomal RNA (265 nucleotides) under uncultured bacterium. RNAcentral describes it as "partial 16S ribosomal RNA". It matches the Rfam family "Bacterial small subunit ribosomal RNA", at positions 523 to 776 of the family's 1533-position model. The record is from RNAcentral.
UAGCAGAGGUGCCAAGCGUUUAGGCGGAAUCACUGGGCUUAAAGCGUGUGUAGGCGGCGGCGUAAAGUACCUUGUGAAAUCCCCACGCUCAACCGUGGAACUGCUCGGUAUACUGCGAUCGGCUUGAGCCAACUAGGGGACGACCGGAACAAACGGUGGAGCGGUGAAAUGCGUUAGGAUAUCGUUUGGAACGCCGAUGGUGAAAACGAAGGUCGCUGGGGGUUGUGCUGACGCUGAGACACGAAAGCCCAGGGGAGCGAACGGG